UGGGGAAUAUUGCACAAUGGAGGGAACUCUGAUGCAGCGACGCCGCGUGAACGAAGAAGGCUUUCGAGUCGUAAAGUUCUUUUAUAUGGGAAGAUAAUGACGGUACCAUAAGAAAAAGCCCCGGCUAACUACGUGCCAGCAGCCGCGGUAAUACGUAGGGGGCUAGCGUUGUCCGGAAUCACUGGGCGUAAAGGGUUCGCAGGCGGAAAUGCAAGUCAGGGGUAAAAGGCAGUAGCUUAACUACUGUAAGCAUUUGAAACUGCAUAUCUUGAGAAGAGUAGAGGUAAGUGGAAUUUUUAGUGUAGCGGUGAAAUGCGUAGAUAUUAAAAAGAAUACCGGUGGCGAAGGCGGCUUACUGGGCUCAUUCUGACGCUGAGGAACGAAAGCGUGGGUAGCAAACAGG
This 403-nucleotide ribosomal RNA is filed under the name bacterium. RNAcentral's name for it is "partial 16S ribosomal RNA". It matches the Rfam family "Bacterial small subunit ribosomal RNA", at positions 355 to 776 of the family's 1533-position model. The record is from RNAcentral.